Molecule: ribosomal RNA, 425 nt
Filed under: uncultured bacterium
Lineage: Bacteria
Description: bacterial SSU rRNA
Rfam family: Bacterial small subunit ribosomal RNA
Source: RNAcentral
GUGGGGAAUCUUAGACAAUGGGGGAAACCCUGAUCUAGCCAUGCCGCGUGAGCGAUGAAGGCCUUAGGGUUGUAAAGCUCUUUCAGCUGGGAAGAUAAUGACGGUACCAGCAGAAGAAGCCCCGGCUAACUCCGUGCCAGCAGCCGCGGUAAUACGGAGGGGGCUAGCGUUGUUCGGAAUUACUGGGCGUAAAGCGCACGUAGGCGGACCAGAAAGUCAGGGGUGAAAUCCCGGGGCUCAACCCCGGAACUGCCUUUGAAACUCCUGGUCUUGAGGUCGAGAGAGGUGAGUGGAAUUCCGAGUGUAGAGGUGAAAUUCGUAGAUAUUCGGAGGAACACCAGUGGCGAAGGCGGCUCACUGGCUCGAUACUGACGCUGAGGUGCGAAAGCGUGGGGAGCAAACAGGAUUAGAUACCCCAGUAGUCC